CUCUCUCUUUGCCUACUGCCAUCCAGGAAGACGUGACUUGCUUCUUCUUGCCUUCCACUAUGAUUGUGGGAAGGCCUCCCCAGUCAUGUGGAACUGUAAGUCCAUUAAACCUCUUUUUCUUCCCAGUCUCAGGUAUGUCUUUAUCAGCAGCAUGAAAAUGGACUAAUACAGUAAAUUGGUACCAGUAGAGGGGGGUGCUGCUGGAAAGAUACCUGAAAAUGUGGAAGCAACUUUGGAACUGGGUAACAGGCAGAGAUUGGAACAGUUUGGAGGGUUCAGAAGAAGACAGGAAUAUGUGGAAAAGUUUGGAACUUCCUAGAGGCUUGUUGAAUGGCUUUGCUCAAAAUGCUGAUAGUGAUAUGGACAAUAAAGUCCAGACUGAGGUGGUUUCAGAUGGAAAUGAGGAACUUGUUGGAAACUGGAGCAAAGGUGACUCUCAUUAUGUUUUAGCAAAGAGACUGGUGGCAUUUUGCCCCUGCUCUAGAGACUUGUGGAACUUUGAACUUGAGAGAGAUGAUUUAGGGAAUCUGGUGGAAGAAAUUUCUAAGCAGUAAAGCAUUCAAAAGGUGACUUGGGUGCUGUUAAAGGCAUUCAGGUUUAUAAGGGAAGCAGAGCAUAAAAGUUUGGAAAAUUUGCAGCCUGACAAUGUGAUAGAAAACAAAAUCCCAUUUUUCUGAGAAGAAAUUCAAGCUGGUUGCAGAAAUUUGCAUAAGUAAUGAGAAGUCGAAUGUUAAUCCUCAAGACAAUGGGGAAAAUGUCCUCAGGGCAUGUCAGAGUUCUUCACAGCAGCCCCUCCCAUCACAGGCCCAGAGGCCUAGGAGGAAAAAGUGGUUUUGUUGGCUGGGUCCAGGGUCCCCAUGCUGUGUGCAGCCUAGGGACUUGGUGCCCUGCAUCCCAGCUGCUUCAGCCAUGGCUGAAAGGGGCGAAUGUAGAACGUGGGUUGUGGCUUCAGAGGGUGCAAGCCUUGGCAGCUUCCACAUGGUAUUAAGCCUGCCAGUCCACAGAAGUCAGGAAUUAGAGUUUGGAAACCUCUGCCUAGAUUUCAAAGGAUGUAUGGAAAUGCCUGGAUGUCCAGGCAAAAGUUUGCAGCAGGGGCAGGGAUCUCAUGGAGACCCUCUGCUAGAGCAGUGCAGAAGGGAAAUCUGGGGUCAGAGCUCCCACACAGAGUCCCUGCUGGCGCACUGCCUAGUGGAGUGGGCACUGUGAGCAGAGGGCCACUAUCUUCCAGACCCCAGAAUGGUAGAUCCACUGACAGCUUGCACCAUGUGACUGGAAAAGCCACAGACUAUCAACGCCAGCCUGUGAAAGCAGCUGGGAGAGAGGCUGUACCCUGCAAAACCACAGGGGCGGAGCUACCCAAGACCAUGGGAACCCAUCUCUUGCAUCAGUGUGACCUGGAAAUGAGACACAGACUCAAAGGAGAUCAUUUUGGAGAAUUAAGAUUUGAGUGACCAGCUGGAUUUCAGGUGCUGUGUGAAGAAUGGAAACAUGCAACAAUAAAGACACCAGUCCUGGUGGACCUGAUGGCCUAUGUCUGGUGUGGCGGGGGACAGAUAAGUAAACAGAUCGUCCUAUACGGGGUAGCCAACGCUAUCAUCUGAUAGAAGUAAUGUAUUAGUCUGUUCUCAUGCUGCUGUAAAGAACUACCCAAGACUGGGUAAUUUAUAAAGAAAAGAGGUUUGAUUGACUCACAGUUCCACAGGCUGUACAGGAGGCAUGGCUUGGGAAGCCUCGAGAAAUUUACAAUCAUGGCGGAAGGCAAAGGGGAAGCCAGCAUGUCUCACAUGGCAGGAGCAGGAGGAAUAGAGAGCAGGAGGAGGUGCUACACAUUUCAAAAAGCCAGAUCUCAUGAGAACUCACUCACUAUCAUGAGAACAGCAAGGGGGAAGUCCGCCCCCAUGAUCCAGUCACCUCCCACCAGACCCCUCCUCCAACACUGGGAUUACAAUUUGACAUGUGAUUUGGGUGGGGACACAGGGUCAAACCAUAUCAGGUAACAAAACUCCAGUCUCAAAAAUGGUAAGUCAAUUUUAUUGCUAUUAUAAUUCUUAAAACUGGUGUUGAUGAUGAUGAUGAUAGCAGUUAUUUGUACAGUAACAUGCCCAAGACAAAUCCCAAGAGAGGAACAUAAACAAAAUCAAGUGGGGAGAUUUGACUUUGCCCAAGUUCUUCUCAACUAGAAAUUUCUAAAGGUGUUUUGUGUGGAGUGCUGCGCUAUGUGCAGUUUUCAGCUAUUCAACCUCAAGGAUGUCAAAUUGUUGGAAGAGAUUCAAAGAAGGAUAAUCAAACUUGGAUGGAGCUGACUUAAAGAAAUGGGCUAACCUCCAGAAAGAAUGCCAUUGAAUCCAGAGAGAGGUGCCGUUGAAUCAGCCCUUGCUGAUGAAGCCUCUUCACUGUACUGCUCAGACCUCUCCAUCCUGGUGGCAAGGGCUUAGACCAUUAUUCAUGGUCUGACUGGCCUCGAGGUGGCUGUCUCGCCUUUGAAAAAGGGCAGACACAGAGCAUGUUCAGAGCACGGAGCCAUACUGUGCGAUUUCUUCAAAGAGAGCUUAACCACAGAAUUUGGAUUAAUGAAUGACGUAACUGCUUCAGGGCAACACACCCUCACUGCAGCUGCUUAGCCCAGGAAGCAGCAAGGUCAAUACAAGGAGAGCCACAGGCCUGGGGAGAUGCAUGCCUUCCUUCCUGGCCACGUGGAUCUCACUACUUAGCCCAGAUGGCCUGCGAGAAGGACAAAGCCAAGCACUUCACAACACUGUCAGUUGCUGUCCUGAAGAAGGUGGCCAGGAGCUCUAGAAGGAUUCAAAGCCCCAGGGAUUUUUGGUUUUUAUGUAUACACUUCUCUUUACAUACUUGUUCCUCAACAUCCAAUCAGCCUUGCAGGUUUGUCCCCGCUCCUAGCAUUCAGAAACACUCAAGAGCAGGGUGGGUCAGAGCUCUCCACCACAUACGCAGCAGAGUGAAAGAAGCUGCCCUGCAGGACAGCUCCAGGCUCAUGGCCACCCCUCCUCACAUGCAUACCUCCUCCUCUUCCACCAAACAACAACAAACUCCUUCAUGUAGCAUUCACGCCCUCCUCUUGUGGCCUCUACCUGCCAUCCCACACCAAUCCCUUUUUAUGUCCCCACAGGUACCCAGGAGUCUCCCCUAACUAAAUUCCCCACUGCUUCUCCAAAUCACCCCAAUCCUACUUCCCACUGAAACUAACAAGAAGGGAAGGAAGGUGUUAACAAAUGAAGUCUUCGAAGGAAGUCACCCCAAGAAUCUGGGCCUACUAGUCAUUCCCUAAGGCUCAGCUCUUGGCAUUUGCUUCGUUCCCUGGGCCAUUAUUUUCAUACUGUGAAGAAAUUUCACCCUAGUCCCAUUUUGGAGAGCAAGUGUUGGUACAGUGCUGGGUAAAGACCCUGACACCAGGUCCUGGUCCCUGGCCCAGAGCAGGGGAUAUGAAGGGAAGCCCCACUCACUGUGUGCUCCCUCACUGACUCCUCAAAGGAAUUCCAGGAAGGGUGCUUUAGUGACCCUUUGGCUCACAGAGUUAGAGUGACCUGCCCAAGGCCACCCAGAGAAUGAAUGGUGGGACUGAGAUCACACCUGGGCCUGCCUGGCUGCCAAGCCUUUUGCUAUUUUCAUUAUUCCACAUUUCUUUCCAAGGAUACAGAAAGCAGGGAUAGGAAGUGCUGUGGAAACAAGCAAAAAGCCUUAUCCAUAGUCAGCAUCCAAAAAGUACUAUACCUUCUCUGACCCCUGCUUUAUUUAUUUGUUUAUUUUCAGGGAUGAUGUAAUAGCCAGAAAAAUAAGUGAACAGAAGAUUCCGGGUUCUACUUUAUGCCAAUUUUUCUUAAAUAUCUCAGUCACUAGAAAAAGAUCUAUUUGAAAAUCUUGCUCUGAGCAGUUUCUGUCUUGGGCCCAGUUGUUUGAGGAGCCUGUUGAAUUUUUAAAUUUAUUAGUGUUCCCAUGCUUCAUUCAUUGGCAUAUAUGUAUAUUCUCUAUACUUUAUAAUUACAAGUAAGCUCUUGAUAAUAAAAAGUAACUGUCAUUCUGUGAAGCUCUUUAAUGCAGCCAAAGAUAAUUUCAGGGGGCAAUUGGCAGUCUAAGUCCUUGCUUUCUCUCAUUUUAAAGGAGAACCAAAUCAACUUAGAGUGAAUUUGUUCAAAUGUGGGUAAGAUUUAACAGGCACUUCAGCUGCCCAGGGUACUUUUCCAUGUCUCUCCAACCAACCCCACCCAAAUAGCUUAGGAUUGGCAUUUUCUGAUGAGCACAGGGAUAGAGAAUGAGAACGGAGUCAGGUCCUCAGGUAUUCAAGGUUAGAAUUCCUUCUUAACCUUGCCCACUAUGCCCUAUGUGGGGACAUGCUACAGCAGAGAUCACUUGAGAAUUAUCCUGUGGCUCACACUGCCAUAAUUAGUUAUCUGUUCGGCACCUCUCAACUAAUCAGAACAAUGGCACAUCCAAAAGUAAAAGGAGAAGAAAGGAGACAAGAAUACAGCGACUGAAUAAUAAAA
Molecule: long non-coding RNA, 4502 nt
Filed under: Homo sapiens (human)
Lineage: Eukaryota; Metazoa; Chordata; Mammalia; Primates; Hominidae
Description: non-protein coding LINC01050:5
Source: RNAcentral